Molecule: long non-coding RNA, 597 nt
Organism: Engraulis encrasicolus (European anchovy)
Lineage: Eukaryota; Metazoa; Chordata; Actinopteri; Clupeiformes; Engraulidae
Exons: 5
Source: RefSeq, a predicted model, not a curated record
CACAUGACAACCUGCUGUCACAUGACUUAGGAUGGAUCAGGAUGGCACCGUUACGAUGCCAAAGUGGACGCAAAGAUGCACAAACAUAACAGGCAUGGCUCACUAACUGGUUUUGCGGACUAACUUCUCCGCGUCUGGAUACUAACGAUUCGGCAGCACCAGGGAAGAUUAUGAUAAUGGAAAGCCUGGGAAACAUUCGCGGCCUGUGUCCUUUGGGCAGCACUCUUCAUCCCGUUCCAACCAAUCUGAAGCACCAGAGAGAGAUGCUAAGCCCUCAGUGCAGUUACUUCUAAAACCUGGAGCGCAAGGAGGAAAAUGAGAUCAAGACACUGCCAAAUGCUUUAGCAAUAGCGGUUACAACUCUUCAUCUAAUCAACCCGGGAUGACAAAUCCAGAAAUGUUGAAAUUGUUUCCGAAAAGGUGCGGCCGGGCCUACGAUGUCAAGCUCAAAAGCUUCCUCUCCUGUCCUCCUUGGCGAGUAGAUCUUAUCCUGGCAUGUUUUAGCCUGCGCGUUGCCCAGACACUGCAGACUGCACCCACAUACUCUGCCUACCCCUUGCCUGUCACGACGAGAAAAAAAAAUAAAAUAAAGUUGGC